This 301-nucleotide ribosomal RNA is filed under the name uncultured bacterium. RNAcentral's name for it is "partial 16S ribosomal RNA". It matches the Rfam family "Bacterial small subunit ribosomal RNA", at positions 509 to 807 of the family's 1533-position model. The record is from RNAcentral.
CAGUAGCCGCGGUAAUACGAAGGGGGCUAGCGUUGUUCGGAUUUACUGGGCGUAAAGCGCACGUAGGCGGACUUUUAAGUCAGGGGUGAAAUCCCGGGGCUCAACCCCGGAACUGCCUUUGAUACUGGAAGUCUUGAGUAUGGUAGAGGUGAGUGGAAUUCCGAGUGCAGAGGUGAAAUUCGUAGAUAUUCGGAGGAACACCAGUGGCGAAGGCGGCUCACAGGACCAUUACUGACGCUGAGGUGCGAAAGCGUGGGGAGCGAACAGGAUUAGAUACCCCGGUAGUCCCUGUCUCUUAUAC